Molecule: transfer RNA, 67 nt
Filed under: marine eukaryotic metagenome
Rfam family: tRNA
About the family: Transfer RNA (tRNA) molecules are approximately 80 nucleotides in length. Their secondary structure includes four short double-helical elements and three loops (D, anti-codon, and T loops).
Source: RNAcentral
GACGUAGCUCAGUUGGUUAGAGCGCUGGAUUGUGGUUCCAGAGGUCGUGGGUUCGAGUCCCAUCUUC